GUCGUGCGAGAAGUAUCUUCGGAUAUGAGUAGAGCGGCGGACGGGUGACUUUGCGUAGGAAUCUACCUAGUAGAAGGGGAUAGCCCGGGGAAACCCGGAUUAAUACCGUAUACCUCCUUCGGGAGAAAGAAGGCCUCUCUUUGAAGCUUUCGCUAUUAGAUGAGCCUGCGUAAGAUUAGCUUGUUGGUGAGGUAAAGGCUCACCAAGGCGACGAUCUUUAGCUGGUCUGAGAGGACGAUCAGCCGCAUUGGGACUGAGACACGGCCCAGACUCCUACGGGAGGCAGCAGUGGGGAAUAUUGGACAAUGGGCGCAAGCCUGAUCCAGCCAUACCGCGUGUGUGAAGAAGGCCUUCGGGUUGUAAAGCACUUUAAGCAGGGAGAAAAAGUUAUAAGUUAAUACCUUAUAACCUUGAUGUUACCUGCAGAAUAAGCACCGGCUAAUUCCGUGCCAGCAGCCGCGGUAAUACGGAAGGCGCAAGCGUUAAUCGGAAUUACUGGGCGUAAAGCGCGCGUAGGUGGUUUGUUAAGUUGGAUGUGAAAGCCCUGGGCUCAACCUAGGAACUGCAUCCAAAACUAACUCACUAGAGUACGAUAGAGGGAGGUAGAAUUCAUAGUGUAGCGGUGGAAUGCGUAGAUAUUAUGAAGAAUACCAGUGGCGAAGGCGGCCUCCUGGAUCUGUACUGACACUGAGGUGCGAAAGCGUGGGUAGCGAACAGGAUUAGAUACCCUGGUAGUCCACGCCGUAAACGAUGACAACUAGCUGUUGGAAGACAAUGUCUUUCAGUGGCGCAGCUAACGUUUUAAGUUGUCCGCCUGGGGAGUACGGCCGCAAGGCUAAAACUCAAAUGAAUUGACGGGGACCCGCACAAGCGGUGGAGCAUGUGGUUUAAUUCGAUGCAACGCGAAAAACCUUACCUACUCUUGACAUACUUGGGAGCUCUUGUAAUGAGAGUGUGCCUUUUGGAACCAAGAUACAGGUGCUGCAUGGCUGUCGUCAGCUCGUGUCGUGAGAUGUUCCGUUAAGUCGGAUAACGAGCGCAACCCUUACCCUUAUUUGCCAGCGAUUCGGUCGGGAACUAUAAGGGGGACUGCCCGGUGAUAAACCGGGAGGAAGGUGAGGACGACGUCAAGUCGUCAUGGGCC
This 1144-nucleotide ribosomal RNA is filed under the name uncultured bacterium. RNAcentral's name for it is "bacterial SSU rRNA". It matches the Rfam family "Bacterial small subunit ribosomal RNA", at positions 61 to 1201 of the family's 1533-position model. The record is from RNAcentral.